RNAcentral lists this small RNA (890 nucleotides) under Pan troglodytes (chimpanzee). RNAcentral's name for it is "retained intron". The record is from RNAcentral. Lineage: Eukaryota; Metazoa; Chordata; Mammalia; Primates; Hominidae.
GUGGCGACAACAAGACCUCGCACAAGCCACUCUACCUGAAGCAUGUGUGCCAGCCAGGCCGCAACACCAUCCAGAUCACCGUCACCGCCUGCUGCUGCUCCCACCUCUUCGUGCUGCAGCUAGUGCACCGCCCAUCCGUCCGCUCGGUGCUGCAGGGCCUCCUCAAAAAGCGCCUCCUGCCUGCUGAGCACUGCAUCACCAAGAUAAAGCGGAACUUCAGCAGCGGCACCAUCCCUGGCACCCCUGGGCCCAACGGAGAGGACGGGGUGGAGCAGACAGCUAUCAAGGUGUCCCUGAAGUGCCCCAUCACCUUCCGCAGGAUCCAGCUCCCUGCCCGAGGUCAUGACUGUCGCCACAUACAGUGCUUUGACCUGGAGUCGUAUCUGCAGCUCAACUGUGAGCGGGGGACUUGGAGGUGUCCUGUGUGCAACAAGACAGCUUUGCUGGAGGGCCUGGAGGUGGACCAGUACAUGCUGGGCAUCCUGAUUUACAUUCAGAACUCUGACUAUGAGGAGAUCACCAUCGACCCCACGUGCAGCUGGAAGCCAGUGCCCGUGAAGCCUGACAUGCACAUCAAGGAGGAGCCGGAUGGGCCGGCACUGAAGCGCUGCCGCACCGUGAGCCCCGCCCACGUGCUCAUGCCCAGCGUGAUGGAGAUGAUCGCCGCCCUGGGCCCCGGCGCUGCCCCUUUUGCCCCCCUGCAGCCCCCCUCAGUCCCUGCCCCCAGCGACUACCCUGGCCAGGGUAAGUACAGCAGGCUAGCCUUGAACCUCAGAUGACCCUGGGCAUAUGGCUCCUCUCCCCAGAUCAGUCUCCUCACCUGCAAGAAUGUGGCUAUGCAGGUCACACACCUAGGUUAUCAGUGUUGCCACACAAAACAUGCCGCGGGG